RNAcentral lists this transfer RNA (72 nucleotides) under Dendroctonus ponderosae (mountain pine beetle). RNAcentral describes it as "tRNA-Val". It matches the Rfam family "tRNA". Rfam says of the family: Transfer RNA (tRNA) molecules are approximately 80 nucleotides in length. Their secondary structure includes four short double-helical elements and three loops (D, anti-codon, and T loops). Further hydrogen bonds mediate the characteristic L-shaped molecular structure. tRNAs have two regions of fundamental functional importance: the anti-codon, which is responsible for specific mRNA codon recognition, and the 3' end, to which the tRNAs corresponding amino acid is attached (by aminoacyl-tRNA synthetases). tRNAs cope with the degeneracy of the genetic code in two manners: having more than one tRNA (with a specific anti-codon) for a particular amino acid; and 'wobble' base-pairing, i.e. permitting non-standard base-pairing at the 3rd anti-codon position. Lineage: Eukaryota; Metazoa; Arthropoda; Insecta; Coleoptera; Curculionidae. The record is from Rfam by way of RNAcentral.
GUUUUCGUAGUGUAGUGGUUAUCACGUGUGCUUCACACGCACAAGGUCCCGGUUCGAUCCCGGGCGGAAACA